Long non-coding RNA from Saccostrea cuccullata (small rock oyster), 526 nucleotides. RefSeq lists it as uncharacterized. The transcript has 3 exons. The record is from RefSeq and is a predicted model, not a curated record. NCBI's taxonomy places the organism in Eukaryota, Metazoa, Mollusca, Bivalvia, Ostreida, Ostreidae.
CCCAGAACUACACUGAUGGUUAGCAGUGCCCUCAUCAAAGACUUUUGGGUAGGAGGGGGAGUGUUGGUAGAAAGAAGGAUUUUCCUCAUCCCAUCAUUGCCUAUAGGGAUUUGACUGAAGCCAACUUAAAGCCCAUAGUUAAUAGUGGCAGCUUUCCUACCCGGGGAUUUGGUCUCUACCUCCUCAUACAGAUUGUACCGCCUUGAUACAUAUAGACACUUAGUACAUCGAAGGCCCAUCCGGCUUCCCAGACCACGCCUCUCUUCGGAUGCCAGAUCCCACUUAAGCUGUCCAUCGCACCCCGGAUUCCCUUGCUGGUGGAGAGAGAUCACCUCAUUCCACAUCUCGGCUGUUUUCCCAAGGUGUAGCAGUCGAUGGGAAUUUUGAUUGGCCAAUCUAGGCACUUUGGAGGGCUUUCAAAUUUCGGUCUCCUCGGCCUAAGGAGAUGGUGGCACAUGGGCCGCACGAGCAUUUCCUGCCCUUCCGCAGCUAUAGGAAUUUCUGGAACCAUCUGAUGCAAUUGCUG